Molecule: ribosomal RNA, 513 nt
Filed under: uncultured bacterium
Lineage: Bacteria
Description: partial 16S ribosomal RNA
Rfam family: Bacterial small subunit ribosomal RNA
Source: RNAcentral
GACGAACGCUGGCGGCAUGCCUAAUACAUGCAAGUCGAGCGAACAGAUGAAGUGCUUGCACUUCUGACGUUAGCAGCGAACGGGUGAGUAACACGUAAGGAAUCUACCUAUAAGCGGGGGAUAACAUUCGGAAACGGGGGCUAAUACCGCAUAAUAUCUUUUUCCGCAUGGAAGAAGAUUGAAAGACGGCGCUCCUGUCACUUUUAGAUGACCUUGCGGUGCAUUAGUUCGUUGGUGGGGUAACGGCCUACCAAGACGAUGAUGCAUAGCCGACCUGAGAGGAUGAUCGGCGACAUGGGGACUGAGACACGGCCCAAACUCCUACGGGAGGCAGCAGUAGGGAAUCUUCCGCAAUGGGCGAAAGCCUGACGGAGCAAUGCCGCGUGAGUGAAGAAGGCCUUCGGGUCGUAAAACUCUGUUAUAAGAGAAGAACAAAUUGUAGAGUAACUGCUACAGUCUUGACGGUAUCUUAUCAGAAAGCCACGGCUAACUACGUGCCAGCCGCCGCGGUAA